GGCGAGUGGCGAACGGGUGAGUAACAUAUCGGAACGUAUCCAAUAAUGGGGGAUAACUAAUCGAAAGGUUGGCUAAUACCGCAUACGCCCUACGGGGGAAAGCAGGGGAUCUUCGGACCUUGCGUUAAUGGAGCGGCUGAUAUCUGAUUAGCUAGUUGGUGAGGUAAAGGCUCACCAAGGCGACGAUCAGUAGCUGGUCUGAGAGGACGACCAGCCACACUGGAACUGAGACACGGUCCAGACUCCUACGGGAGGCAGCAGUGGGGAAUUUUGGACAAUGGGCGCAAGCCUGAUCCAGCCAUUCCGCGUGAGUGAAGAAGGCCUUCGGGUUGUAAAGCUCUUUCGCAAGGGAAGAAAACUUACUUUCUAAUAAAGAGUGAGGUUGACGGUACCUUGAUAAGAAGCACCGGCUAACUACGUGCCAGCAGCCGCGGUAAUACGUAGGGUGCGAGCGUUAAUCGGAAUUACUGGGCGUAAAGCGUGCGCAGGCGGCUUUGUAAGUCAGAUGUGAAAUCCCCGAGCUCAACUUGGGAACUGCGUUUGAAACUACAAGGCUAGAAUAUGUCAGAGGGGGGUAGAAUUCCACGUGUAGCAGUGAAAUGCGUA
This 606-nucleotide ribosomal RNA is filed under the name uncultured beta proteobacterium. RNAcentral's name for it is "bacterial SSU rRNA". It matches the Rfam family "Bacterial small subunit ribosomal RNA", at positions 90 to 692 of the family's 1533-position model. Lineage: Bacteria; Pseudomonadati; Pseudomonadota; Betaproteobacteria. The record is from RNAcentral.